ACGACUCUGUAAGGUAUGGGUUUGAAUUACAUUAAAACACAUUUAACACAUUUAACACAUCCAAUCGCGGAAAUGAUCCACCUUAUAAAUUCGGACAGGUCAUGCUCUGGAAAAGGUAGCGGUAUUAACGGUAAUGUCUACUAAGAAGCAUCGAGCCAUGGGGUCUGAGGAGUGGGUGAGCCGCCUGAAGGCAUUUGCCUCUUCUGGCACUUGGCCCUCCAGUGCAGGGAACAGGCCAUCGCCAAAACAGGCCAAGUGGCACAACCUCUACCAGCAGAUUGAGUAGUGUCCCACGAUGCUGCGUGGGCAGACCUCUAUCUUAAGGGUAGCGCAGACAUGUACCUGUGGCUUUCACCCCCAGCAGCCCUGCAGCUACCUCUGCCUCCACUUCUGCUGCGCCUGCACGGAGCCCUGGGAGGCCUGCAUUGACGCUGGCGAUGGUGAAUAUUUCCAUCACAUUAAAUACCAUGUCAUUCACCUGGUUAGCCAUGAUCAACUC
This is a long non-coding RNA of Gadus macrocephalus (Pacific cod), 499 nucleotides long. RefSeq lists it as uncharacterized. NCBI's taxonomy places the organism in Eukaryota, Metazoa, Chordata, Actinopteri, Gadiformes, Gadidae. The record is from RefSeq and is a predicted model, not a curated record. The transcript has 4 exons.